RNAcentral lists this ribosomal RNA (253 nucleotides) under uncultured microorganism. RNAcentral describes it as "partial 16S ribosomal RNA". It matches the Rfam family "Bacterial small subunit ribosomal RNA", at positions 524 to 776 of the family's 1533-position model. The record is from RNAcentral.
UACGUAGGGUGCAAGCGUUAAUCGGAAUUACUGGGCGUAAAGCGCGCGUAGGUGGCUUGAUAAGCCGGUUGUGAAAGCCCCGGGCUCAACCUGGGAACGGCAUCCGGAACUGUCAGGCUAGAGUGCAGGAGAGGAAGGUAGAAUUCCCGGUGUAGCGGUGAAAUGCGUAGAGAUCGGGAGGAAUACCAGUGGCGAAGGCGGCCUUCUGGACUGACACUGACACUGAGGUGCGAAAGCGUGGGUAGCAAACAGG